RNAcentral lists this small RNA (171 nucleotides) under Rattus norvegicus (Norway rat). Its description in RNAcentral is "uncharacterized LOC102557277". The record is from RNAcentral. Lineage: Eukaryota; Metazoa; Chordata; Mammalia; Rodentia; Muridae.
CUUUAACACAAUUUCAAAAUGCACUCUGAGUUGUUUUCUUAGCACCUCUAUGGGCCUUUACAAAGGGCUUCAGCUGAAAGAGAUGCUGACUGAGAUGCCAUACCUUGAUGCUGGUACCGCCAAUAGAAACUCAAAGACCCAAGGACCAGACUGAAUUCUUCACCUGCCUCA